UUUUUUUUUCGAAAGUUUUGCUUCGCUUGCUUGGCACUCUUUUGCUUGUUUUCCUUUUUUUAUUUUGAAAAAAAUUAGUAAAGUGUAAAAAGAAUGGAACAGAAGGAGGAAAUUGAUAAUACUACAAAAGAUAACGAUUCUGAACAUAUUAAACUCAAAGUUCUCGCUCAGGACAAUACUGAAAUACAUUUUAAAAUUCGCCGCACUACUCCCUUUAAAAAGUUAAUGGAAGCUUAUUGUCAGAAACAAGGAAUCGCACUGACAGACGUUCGUUUUGUUGUAGAUGGAAUGCGAAUUCUUCCAGGCCAAACCCCCAAAGAACUUUCUCUUGAAGAUGGAGAUGCUAUAGAUGUACUUUCCGAGCAAAUGGGAGGUUUCGCAGUCGCUCUCGAAAAUUUAUAAAAGCUUGAACCUUUUUUCAUAUUUUUUGGCGGGAUCU
This is a long non-coding RNA of Zophobas morio, 439 nucleotides long. RefSeq lists it as uncharacterized. NCBI's taxonomy places the organism in Eukaryota, Metazoa, Arthropoda, Insecta, Coleoptera, Tenebrionidae. The record is from RefSeq and is a predicted model, not a curated record. The transcript has 5 exons.